AUUGAACGCUGGCGGCGUGCUUAACACAUGCAAGUCGAUCGGUAACAGGUGUAGCAAUACAUGCUGACGAGAGGCGGACGGGUGAGGAAUAUUUGGGAAUCUGCCCAUCAGCGGGGGACAACCCGGGGAAACCCGGGCUAAUACCGCAUACGCUCUACGGAGGAAAGCCGGGGACCGCAAGGCCUGGCACUGAUGGAUGGGCCCAAAUCGGAUUAGCUAGUUGGCGGGGUAACGGCCCACCAAGGCGACGAUCCGUAGCUGGUCAGAGAGGACGAUCAGCCACACCGGAACUGAGACACGGUCCGGACUCCUACGGGAGGCAGCAGUGGGGAAUAUUGGACAAUGGGGGAAACCCUGAUCCAGCGACGCCGCGUGGGUGAAGAAGGCCUGCGGGUUGUAAAGCCCUUUCGGUAGGGACGAAAGCUCUCGCUCUAAUAAUGCAAGAGGUUGACUUAACCUACAUAAGAAGCACCGGCUAACUCUGUGCCAGCCGCCGCAGUAA
RNAcentral lists this ribosomal RNA (502 nucleotides) under uncultured bacterium. RNAcentral describes it as "partial 16S ribosomal RNA". It matches the Rfam family "Bacterial small subunit ribosomal RNA", at positions 29 to 523 of the family's 1533-position model. The record is from RNAcentral.